This 230-nucleotide unclassified non-coding RNA is filed under the name plant metagenome. RNAcentral describes it as "partial contains small subunit ribosomal RNA, internal transcribed spacer 1, and 5.8S ribosomal RNA". The stretch from base 183 to 230 matches the Rfam family "5.8S ribosomal RNA", at positions 1 to 49 of the family's 154-position model. The record is from RNAcentral.
UUUCCGUAGGUGAACCUGCGGAAGGAUCAUUCAUAAUAAAGUGUUUUAUGGCACUUUUUAAAAAUCCAUAUCCACCUUGUGUGCAAUGUUAGAUCUCGUCAAUCUUAGCGAGAUUUUUAUACAUCAACUCAUUCUUUAACUAAUUUGUCUGAAAAAUAUUAUGAAUACUUAAUUCAAAAUACAACUUUCAACAACGGAUCUCUUGGCUCUCGCAUCGAUGAAGAAGCAGC